This 1573-nucleotide ribosomal RNA is filed under the name Mus pahari (shrew mouse). Its description in RNAcentral is "16S ribosomal RNA". It matches the Rfam family "Bacterial large subunit ribosomal RNA". The record is from RNAcentral. Lineage: Eukaryota; Metazoa; Chordata; Mammalia; Rodentia; Muridae.
ACUAAUUCUAGCCCUAACACAUAAUUAUUAAUACAACUAUUCUUACUAAAAUAAAUCAAAUCAUUCAGUCAAAUUAAAGUAUUGGAGAAAGAAAUAUUACAUUUAGGAGCUAUAGAGCAAGUACCGUAAGGGAAAGAUGAAAGACUAAUUUAAAGUAUUAAUAAGCAAAGAUUAAAUCUUGUACCUUUUGCAUAAUGAAUUAACUAGAAAAUUCCUAGCUAAAAGAACUAUAGCUAGACACCCCGAAACCAAACGAGCUACCUAAGAACAAUUUAUUGGAUUAACCCGUCUAUGUAGCAAAAUAGUGGGAAGAUUUUUAGGUAGAGGUGAAAAGCCUAACGAGCUUGGUGAUAGCUGGUUACCCAAAAAAUGAAUUUAAGUUCAACUUUAAACUUACUGAAAGAAUAAAAAAUCUAAAUGCAAGUUUAAAAUAUAGCCAAAAGAGGGACAGCUCUUUAGGAACGGAAAAAACCUUAAAUAGUGAAUAAACAUUAUAAAUUCAUUAAUCAUUGUAGGCCCAAAAGCAGCCAUCAAUAAAGAAAGCGUUCAAGCUCAACAUAAAACUAUUACUAAUUUGUUAACUUAAAAUAACUUCCUAAACUUAAAAUUGGGUUAAUCUAUAAUUCCAUAGAUGAAAUUCUGUUAAUAUGAGUAACAAGAAUAUUAAUUCUCCAAGCAUAAGUGUAUAACAACUCGGAUACCCAUUGUUAGUUAUCAGAUUAUAGGUUAUAUCUAAAUUACUAGACAUACCUAAAACUACUCUGUUAAUCCAACACAGGAAUGCUCUAAGGAAAGAUUAAAAAAAAUAAAAGGAACUCGGCAAACAAGAACCCCGCCUGUUUACCAAAAACAUCACCUCUAGCAUUACAAGUAUUAGAGGCACUGCCUGCCCAGUGACUAAAGUUUAACGGCCGCGGUAUCCUGACCGUGCAAAGGUAGCAUAAUCACUUGUUCCUUAAUUAGGGACUAGCAUGAACGGCUAAACGAGGGUCCAACUGUCUCUUAUCUUUAAUCAGUGAAAUUGACCUUUCAGUGAAGAGGCUGAAAUAUAAUAAUAAGACGAGAAGACCCUAUGGAGCUUAAAUUAUAUAACUUAUCUAUUUAAUUUAUUAAACCUAAUGGCCCAAAAACUAUAGUAUAAGUUUGAAAUUUCGGUUGGGGUGACCUCGGAGAAUAAAAAAUCCUCCGAAUGAUUAUCUAGACAAACCAGUCAAAAUAACCAUAACAUCACUUAUUGAUCCAAAAUUUGAUCAACGGAACAAGUUACCCCGGGAUAACAGCGCAAUCCUGUUCUAGAGUUCCUAUCGACAAUAGGGUUUACGACCUCGAUGUUGGAUCAGGGACACCCAAAUGGUGCAACCGCUAUUAAAGGUUCGUUUGUUCAACGAUUAAAGUCCUACGUGAUCUGAGUUCAGACCGGAGAAAUCCAGGUCGGUUUCUAUCUAUUUACAAUUUCUCCCAGUACGAAAGGACAAGAGAAAUAGAGCCUCCUUACAAAUAAGCGCUCUUAACUUAAUUUAUGAAUAAAAUCUUAAUAAUAUAUGUAUGUACAUUUAAUUACCUAGAUAAGGUU